This 767-nucleotide ribosomal RNA is filed under the name Xanthomonas citri pv. malvacearum. RNAcentral's name for it is "bacterial SSU rRNA". It matches the Rfam family "Bacterial small subunit ribosomal RNA", at positions 46 to 801 of the family's 1533-position model. The record is from RNAcentral. Lineage: Bacteria; Pseudomonadati; Pseudomonadota; Gammaproteobacteria; Lysobacterales; Lysobacteraceae.
GCCUACCAUGCAAGUCGAACGGCAGCACAGUAAGAGUUUGCUCUUAUGGGUGGCGAGUGGCGGACGGGUGAGGAAUACAUCGGAAUCUACUCUUUCGUGGGGGAUAACGUAGGGAAACUUACGCUAAUACCGCAUACGACCUACGGGUGAAAGCGGAGGACCUUCGGGCUUCGCGCGGUUGAAUGAGCCGAUGUCGGAUUAGCUAGUUGGCGGGGUAAAGGCCCACCAAGGCGACGAUCCGUAGCUGGUCUGAGAGGAUGAUCAGCCACACUGGAACUGAGACACGGUCCAGACUCCUACGGGAGGCAGCAGUGGGGAAUAUUGGACAAUGGGCGCAAGCCUGAUCCAGCCAUGCCGCGUGGGUGAAGAAGGCCUUCGGGUUGUAAAGCCCUUUUGUUGGGAAAGAAAAGCAGUCGGUUAAUACCCGAUUGUUCUGACGGUACCCAAAGAAUAAGCACCGGCUAACUUCGUGCCAGCAGCCGCGGUAAUACGAAGGGUGCAAGCGUUACUCGGAAUUACUGGGCGUAAAGCGUGCGUAGGUGGUGGUUUAAGUCUGUUGUGAAAGCCCUGGGCUCAACCUGGGAAUUGCAGUGGAUACUGGGUCACUAGAGUGUGGUAGAAGGGAGCGGAAUUCCCCGUGUAACAGUGAAAUGCCUAGAUAUCGGGAGGGAACUCCCAGGGUAACGGUGCUAGCUGGAUCCCCACUGUUACUUGCGUAAGAAACCGUGUGGGUCCAAGUAGGGGUCCAUACCCUCGGAUGUCCCUCC